UGACGUUCGGACGUACAUAUGGAGUAUGCGAAGAAGUGUGAAUAAGAAGACGGCUGUACAAGUAAGACUAUAUAUCAUGAGUUUAUUCAUCACAGCGGCGCUGCUGAAGUGGUGGGCGGAGCUCGUUCUGGUGGAGCUGUUGGUGCCUUUUUUAAACUAAUGUGUUUCUUUAUCUACUUUUUGAGCGUCGUGAUCGAUACUGUAUUGUGCUACCAUGUUGUUGAAGCAAAUUACGUGCUUUUUGGUGUUGUUUAAUCAUUAUUUUGGAUCACCGCCUGAGUCAAGGAUCACCCACUACACAAACGAACUGCUAGGCUAGUUAUGCAGGAGCAAAGACGUUGCACCCCACCGCUGCCAGACAAACACAAGUGGCCUAAGAUCUUAAAACGCAGAAAGAGAGAGAAAGCAGGAGGAAUCAUGAAACGCCUUAAAAUUAGGAAAAGUAGACCUUAAAUCCCAUCUAUUAUUAUUGGAAACGUGCAGUCACUGGACAACAAAAUGGACGAACUAAGGGCAAACGUGCGAUACAUGAACAAAUUUCGGAAAGUAGUCUCAUGACUUUUCGCACGUAGUUUUCACGUAAAUGGCGAUUUUAAUCACUGUAAUCGAAGGAAAAGUAGUGUUUAUUACUACCAAUAUGUCAGCUGUGCGACCAGGAAUGCCAGUCAACCACAGCUUUAUUACUCGAAUGUAAAGAACGCAUAUAUGUGUCAACCAAGCUACCUUGUCUCAGCAAUCAUAACCUCGUACUGCUAAGUAGCAAAUACUUACCGUUGAGUAGGAUGCAAAAACCAAAGAAAAUCAUUGUUAAACAAUGGACAGAUGAAUCUAUACAGCGCUUACAAGGUGCUUGGAGUGUACAGACUGGGACAUGUUUAAAGAAAAGUGUAAAGAUCUUAACGAUCUCACUCAAACAUGUUGUGACUAUAUUGAUUUCUGUUGUGAAAUUAGAAUUCCCAAAAUAAUUGUUAAAAGUUUUCAGUAACAAUAAACCAUGGAUUACUAAAAAUGUUCAUUCAAGCCAUUAUUAAAAGGAAGAAAGUAGCCUUUAAUAAAAAUGAUAGAAAUAAACUUAAAGAUAUCCAAAAAGAUCUUAAAACUUUUAUACGUAGAGAAAAAAAAUAAUUACAGAAUGAAAGUAGAAAAUCAUUUUACAGAAAAUAACAUGAAAAUGGUAUAGAAUUGCAUGCGCUUGAUGAGUGGUUUUAUGCAUAAAGAUAAGAGUAAUAAAGUAAAAUGUUUUCCUGA
Long non-coding RNA from Anneissia japonica, 1248 nucleotides. RefSeq lists it as uncharacterized. NCBI's taxonomy places the organism in Eukaryota, Metazoa, Echinodermata, Crinoidea, Comatulida, Comatulidae. The transcript has 2 exons. The record is from RefSeq and is a predicted model, not a curated record.